RNAcentral lists this non-coding RNA (103 nucleotides) under Lentilactobacillus farraginis. RNAcentral's name for it is "Lactobacillus farraginis TPP sequence". It matches the Rfam family "TPP riboswitch aptamer (THI element)". Rfam says of the family: Vitamin B(1) in its active form thiamin pyrophosphate (TPP) is an essential coenzyme that is synthesised by coupling of pyrimidine and thiazole moieties in bacteria. Lineage: Bacteria; Bacillati; Bacillota; Bacilli; Lactobacillales; Lactobacillaceae. The record is from RNAcentral.
UGAUGACAUUAGGGGAGCCCACCGGCUGAGACGCGAUUUAAGCGCGAACCCUUUGAACCUGAUCUGGUCAAAGCCAGUGUAGGGAAAUUGUCAGGGUGGUCCC